AAUCAACGCUGGCGGCGUGCCUCAGACAUGCAAGUCGAACGAUUAAACUUUCCUUCGGGAAAGAUAUAAAGUGGCGCACGGGUGAGUAACACGUAAGUAAUCUACCCUCGAGUGGGGAAUAACGUUCGGAAACGGACGCUAAUACCGCAUAAUGCAGCGGCACCGCAAGGUGACAGUUGUUAAAGAUUUAUCGCUUGAGGAGGAGCUUGCGGCAGAUUAGCUAGUUGGUAAGGUAACGGCUACCAAGGCUACGAUCUGUAACCGGUCUAAGAGGACGGUCGGUCACACUGACACUGAAUAACGGGUCAGACUCC
RNAcentral lists this ribosomal RNA (314 nucleotides) under uncultured bacterium. RNAcentral describes it as "bacterial SSU rRNA". It matches the Rfam family "Bacterial small subunit ribosomal RNA", at positions 32 to 339 of the family's 1533-position model. The record is from RNAcentral.